GAUGAACGCUAGCGAUAGGCCUAACACAUGCAAGUCGAGGGGCAGCACAUGAAGUAGCGAUACGGAUGGUGGCGACCGGCGCACGGGUGAGUAACGCGUAUGCAAUCUACCUACAACAAGGGGAUAACCCGUUGAAAGACGGACUAAUACCCUAUAAUACAGGGGUCCCGCAUGGGAAUAUUUGUUAAAGAUUCAUCGGUUGUAGAUGAGCAUGCGUUCCAUUAGCUAGUUGGUGAGGUAACGGCCCACCAAGGCAACGAUGGAUAGGGGAACUGAGAGGUUUAUCCCCCACACUGGUACUGAGACACGGACCAGACUCCUACGGGAGGCAGCAGUGAGGAAUAUUGGUCAAUGGACGCAAGUCUGAACCAGCCACGUCGCGUGAAGGAAGACGGCCCUAUGGGUUGUAAACUUCUUUUGUAAGGGAAUAAAGUGAGUCACGAGUGGCUUAUGCAUGUACCUUACGAAUAAGGAUCGGCUAACUCCGUGCCAGCAGCCGC
RNAcentral lists this ribosomal RNA (500 nucleotides) under uncultured bacterium. RNAcentral's name for it is "bacterial SSU rRNA". It matches the Rfam family "Bacterial small subunit ribosomal RNA", at positions 28 to 518 of the family's 1533-position model. The record is from RNAcentral.